This 254-nucleotide ribosomal RNA is filed under the name uncultured bacterium. RNAcentral describes it as "partial 16S ribosomal RNA". It matches the Rfam family "Bacterial small subunit ribosomal RNA", at positions 524 to 776 of the family's 1533-position model. The record is from RNAcentral.
UACGUAGGGGGCGAGCGUUGUCCGGAUUUAUUGGGCGUAAAGAGCUCGUAGGCGGUUCGAUAAGUCAGGUGUAAAAACUCCAGGCUCAACUUGGAGAGGCCACCUGAUACUGUCGUGACUAGAGUCCGGUAGAGGAGCACGGAAUUCCUGGUGUAGCGGUGAAAUGCGCAGAUAUCAGGAGGAACACCAGCGGCGAAGGCGGUGCUCUGGGCCGGAACUGACGCUGAGGAGCGAAAGCGUGGGGAGCGAACAGG